RNAcentral lists this ribosomal RNA (468 nucleotides) under uncultured bacterium. RNAcentral describes it as "partial 16S ribosomal RNA". It matches the Rfam family "Bacterial small subunit ribosomal RNA", at positions 28 to 507 of the family's 1533-position model. The record is from RNAcentral.
GACGAACGCUGGCGGCGUGCUUAACACAUGCAAGUCGAACGGAAAGGCCCUGCUUUUGUGGGGUGCUCGAGUGGCGAACGGGUGAGUAACACGUGAGUAACCUGCCCUUGACUUUGGGAUAACUUCAGGAAACUGGGGCUAAUACCGGAUAGGAGCUCCUGCUGCAUGGUGGGGGUUGGAAAGUUUCGGCGGUUGGGGAUGGACUCGCGGCUUAUCAGCUUGUUGGUGGGGUAGUGGCUUACCAAGGCUUUGACGGGUAGCCGGCCUGAGAGGGUGACCGGCCACAUUGGGACUGCGAUACGGCCCAGACUCCUACGGGAGGCAGCAGUGGGGAAUAUUGCACAAUGGGCCGAAGCCUGAUGCAGCAACGCCGCGUGCGGGAUGACGGCCUUCGGGUUGUAAACCGCUUUCGCCUGUGACGAAGCGUGAGUGACGGUAAUGGGUAAAGAAGCACCGGCUAACUACGUG